UGGUCCUACGGGGCGCAGCAGUGGGGGAUAUUGCACAAUGGGGGGAACCCUGAUGCAGCGACGCCGCGUGGGUGAAGGAGUGCUUCGGCAUGUAAAGCCCUAUCGGCAGGGAAGAAGCAAGACGGUACCUGCAAAGGAAGCACCGGCUAACUCCGUGCCAGCAGCCGCGGUAAUACGGAGGGUGCGAGCGUUAAUCGGAAUUACUGGGCGUAAAGCGCUCGUAGGCGGUAUGUCAAGUCAAGGGUGAAAUCCCCGCGCUCAACGUGGGAACUGCCUUUGAAACUGGCAAACUGGAGUGUGUGAGG
RNAcentral lists this ribosomal RNA (305 nucleotides) under uncultured bacterium. RNAcentral's name for it is "bacterial SSU rRNA". It matches the Rfam family "Bacterial small subunit ribosomal RNA", at positions 334 to 655 of the family's 1533-position model. The record is from RNAcentral.